RNAcentral lists this ribosomal RNA (3548 nucleotides) under Triticum aestivum (bread wheat). RNAcentral's name for it is "partial small subunit ribosomal RNA". The record is from RNAcentral. Lineage: Eukaryota; Viridiplantae; Streptophyta; Magnoliopsida; Poales; Poaceae.
CAGGUUGAGUACAAAAAUGCGCGAGAAGCGAGAACGAGAGCGCGGGCGGAUGCAUGCAGCCGUGUGCUCUUUUGUUGCCUCCCUCUCGUCAUUUUAUGUAUCGGGUCCUCUAGAGGGAGAGUGUGUGUGUUUUAGGUGGUCUGAUCGCUCGUUCGUUCGUUCGUUGGGCCCUCUACGCGCUGCCGCUGCAGGCGCCACCAGGGGCGCGCGCCGAGGCAGGACGGGUUAUCCGGUCAAAAAGGGUCACCGCUAAUCAACCAGGCAGCUGCUGACCGGCAUGCACCUGGUGACGACGGGGGCCUGGUCUGCAGCAGCCGCGGUCGCCGGUCGCACGUGCGUCGCGGGGGAAGAGAGGGCCUCCGAACGUCGAUCGAUCUAGUCGGGUUCAACGUCGUCGCUCGCUGGCCCUCGAGCUGCGGCGUUGGUGGCGCAAAAAGUAAAGGCCCGCGGCACACGUACGGGACGGGUUGGUUUGCUUGCGGGUCGCGGAGGCAGUGUGAAAACCGGGAGAGGAACGGGUUUCUUUACUGGCAUGCAAGCUGAGCUGGGACGAGCAACGCACGGUCGAGGCACACCGACACACAUGAACAUCACCUCGAUAUCGUUAGAUCGCACCGAUACGAGGACUGCGCCCAUCACCAUCCAUCCAUGACCAUACCAUACCCGCCCGCCAUGCUAGUUCACGUCACAUUCGAGGAGGAGGAGGAGCAGCAGCUAGAGGACGACCGACGACGUUUGUAGGGUAGGGUUAGGUAGGUGGUUAGAGUAAGGGUAGCGAGCAGAGGAGUAGUGGAGGGGUCUUUCUAUACCGGGAGUCGAGGAGAAACGCGUUUCCACGCAGAGGUAGGGAAAGAAAUAAAGGAAGGGGAGGGAGGGAGAGCCACGAGCGGACGGGAACAGAACGAAAUGACGAGGCGAAAAGCAAAAGACUCGAUCGAAAGAAAGAAAGGGCACGGCAGCGGGGCAGGCAGGUAUCUAACUAAUUGCCUCGCGGACCGGCGCGCGCGCCCUCGCCUCCAGGUCAUAUUUCUAGCUACCGCGUGCUAGGGUCGGAUCAUCCCAUGCGGCUGAUGAAGCGCCUCUGCCCCUCGUUGCCCCCGCCGCAGUGCGAGCACGGCCUCCACCUGUGGGCGCGCCUCGUAGUCUACAUACCGCCGCCUAACGUGGUAGUAGUGGUGAGGCCCCACUUGUACAAGCCCCGGUCCCCGAAGCCGUACCGCGGCGGGCCGCUCCGCUGCAGGCGCGUCUCGUUCCGGCGCGAGCUGAAGCUGCAGCUGCCGAGCAGAUGGUAGUCGAAGAAGGCGCCGCUCGUCGUGGUGGUGGUCGUGGUCGUCGACGUCUACCCGGUCCGGGGCAACAGCGACAGCGAGGUGCCCGGCGGCCUGCGGCCCAGCAGCAGCAAGUACGACGUGGUGGUCGAGCCGCCGCCGCUCGGGGCCGACGUCGUCGUGGUCGUCUGCCGCGGCCCCCGUACCGUCCACGUUCCGCGGCCGUCGCCGACCGUCGACGCGCCCAGGGCCAAGGACGACGGCUGCGUCGUCGAGGACGUCCCCAAGACGUCGUAGGGGCGGCUGUGGCUGUUGUUCCGCGGGUUCUUCGGCCGCGUUCUUCUCGUGCCGAGCAGCAGGAGGCGGAGGACCGGCGGCAGCAGCUGCGUCUAGGUCUCGUACCUGCGGCGGCUCGACGUCUCCGAGUUCCGGUUCGAGAUGUGGUACUAGCUUCUCCACCUGUCCUCCAUGUCCUCCAUGGCGCUAGUCUACGCCCGCCACCGCCGCAGGAAGCUCCGCCACCGCCCCGUCGCCCGGCGCCGCCACAUGUGCUCCUACCGCAGCGCCUGGUAGAGGUCCGUGAAGGCCUCGCACUCCCUGCCCCACCGGCGCGUCCAGGCCCGCCACGCGCCCCGCGACCCCCUCUUCCUGCGCCCGCGGCGGCACGGCCCCUACUGGUUCCCCCUCUGCGGGUCCGACGCCCGCGACCUGGUCACGGAGUCCGUCGUGUUCCGCAUGGUCAGGCCGUACGAGCUCUCGGUGGGCACCGCCGGCGUCGCGCCGGACGGCCUCGCGCGGCAGAGGCAGGAGGCCCGGACCGAGAAGCUCGUGAAGGACGUGGGCAUGGGCUCGCUGCACCUAUUCGUGUAGGACCGCGCCGUCUGCCCGGAUAGCGCCUCGGUCCAGAGCUUGACCAAGUAGUUGCGCUCCCACGCCGACACCUUCGGCUACCACCUCCUCUACAUGCGCCUCCUCUACUUCCUGUUCCUCCUCCCGUCGCCGCCGCUGCCACCACCGGUCAGCCGCGUCGUCCGGCCGCUGGACCGCUUGGUAUUGGGUCGCCUGCCCUCGAUGCGGAGGCUCCCCGCGCCGCUCGUCUUCGGCUGGGCCCGCGUCGACGUGGUCGACGUGCUGCGGCCGAGCGACCGGAGGCAGCACUCGUAGCCGGUCUCGUGGCUGGGCGUCCCGGAGUUGAAGCCGUACUACCUGGUCGAGCUGAAGCUGCGGAUGCUCCGCCGGUGCCGGCCCAAGCCGUUGCCGCACAGCGACUGCGACCCCGAAGUCGUGGUCGUCGUCGUCGUCGUCGUGGUGCCACCGCACUUGCAACGGCGCAAGCGGCGGCGUAGGGGCAGCAGCAGCAGGCGCCGCGUACCGCCGCGGCGGCUCAAGGACAAGUACCGACCACUCCCGCACGUGGGCAGACGAUUGCCUGUCAAGCCCCGCCCGUACCCUAGUCCGCGGCUGCAGCGCAGCGUCAUGGUGGCCCCCGACCCGCCCAAGGUGGAGGAGGCGCUGGAGCGGCCCACUAACUAGGCAUGCAGCCAGUCAGACCUGCCGUAGUGCGCUGUCAUGGUGUUACUAGUGCAUGCACACAUGCAGGUCCCUAGUAGUACAGUACGCGGCCUCCAGCUAGCCCCUGCCUGCGCUGCUGCAGACUAUCCCACUACCCCCUAGCUUGACUCCUAAACCCCCUACACAUUUGCCGCUGGCCCGACCCCGACCGUACGUACCAACCAUCGAGCGCAUGCAUGCAGAACGAAUCGGCCACAUGCGUCCGCCGAAACCUAAAAACAUCGCGCAUCUAUGGAGAUAAAUUAAGAACCGCCCUACAGCGGCAGAUACAUACGACACAAGGUGAGGUGCCGCCGGCGCGCGCGCAGCGACAAUAGCGCCUCCGCGCCUGCAGCUAGCGGCCCGCCGGAGGCGGCACGCUAGCUCGCCGGGUUGCCGGUCUCCACGAGAAUGACCGCUGUCCAGGCCUUGAGUCGUCCUACCCCAUGUACCAUGCAUAGUCUGAUGCAUGCAUGGUUACCGUUACGUGGCGAUCAAUCGAUGCAGACGGAUGGCAACAAGGAUUGCAUUCGCAAGCUUAUAAAGCAAACAACGCUACAGUAAAAGCAUAGAACCAGAACCGCAACCCAAAGGUAGCCCUCUACUUUCGUUCACGAUGAACGUUGCCGCUCGCCCGAGAAGUGUGUACUCCGUUCUCCCUAAGGGAAAGUAUUCCCCUUCUCUUGAUACGGUUGUCUAAACUAUAACAGAGGAGCACUUUUUUGUUUG